Molecule: ribosomal RNA, 471 nt
Filed under: uncultured bacterium
Lineage: Bacteria
Description: bacterial SSU rRNA
Rfam family: Bacterial small subunit ribosomal RNA
Source: RNAcentral
GGCCCAGACUCCUACGGGAGGCAGCAGUGGGGAAUCUUCCGCAAUGGGCGAAAGCCUGACGGAGCAACGCCGCGUGAUCGAAUGAAGGCCUUCGGGUUGUAAAGAUCUGUUGACAGGGACGAAUAAGCAAUGCGAAUAGUUUUGUGUAUGACGGUACCUGUUUAGAAAGCUCCGGCUAACUACGUGCCAGCAGCCGCGGUAAUACGUAGGGAGCAAGCGUUGUCCGGAAUUACUGGGCGUAAAGGGCGCGGAGGGGGGCGCUUAAGUCAGGUGGGAAAACUCCGGGCUCAACCCGGAGACUGCACUUGAAACUGGGUGUCUUGAGGGCAGGAGAGGAAAGUGGAAUUCCGAGUGUAGCGGUGAAAUGCGUAGAUAUUAGGAGGAACACCAGUGGCGAAGGCGGCUUUCUGGACUGUAACUGACGCUGAGGCGCGAAAGCGUGGGGAGCGAACGGGAUUAGAUACCCGUGUA